ACAUGAAUCCCCUGGGGAUUUUGUUAAAUGCAGGUUUGACUCAGUGGGCCUAAGAGGUGGAGGCCUGAAAUUCUGUACUUCUACAAACUCCCAGGUGAUAUGGUG
RNAcentral lists this microRNA precursor (105 nucleotides) under Marmota monax (woodchuck). The record is from RNAcentral. Lineage: Eukaryota; Metazoa; Chordata; Mammalia; Rodentia; Sciuridae.